UUUUUUUUUUUUUUUUUUGCUCUUGCUUGCUACAUUUUCUAAAAAUCUACUUACUAAUCACUGUAGUUCAUUCACACACACACACAAAAUAGACGUUCUUCCUCCCUGGACACAAACAUGCAAACGCUGCCAAACACACGGAGCUGACAUAAUUGGCUGAAAAUGAAUGGGAAUUUUUUCAAAUUAAAGUUUAAUAACACAAGCGGAACAUGAAUACAUUCUCCUUUUUAAAAAAUAGAACAUUGCAGAUGAUGCCGAAGUCCCUUUUGGCCACCCACUGCCAUCCCAUUUCCUCCCUCCUCCCCAGAGGUAACCACCGUAAUGGGUUCACUGUGCACUUUGCUAGACUUUCUAAAAACUUCUAAAUUCACGGGUAGGUACCCACAGGAAAUAUAUGUGAUAGCUGUCUCAAAUAAUGAGAAUUGUGUCUUUUUCUUUCCAGUUUUCAUUGAUAUUCAAUUUUUGUAGUGACCUGGAUUUUAUUAUGGUGAAGGAAUAAAAUGUCAGUGUUAUCACCUGUCACAAUGUGAAAGGAAAGAUGUAGAAGUCAGAAGACAGCCCUGGAGGGGGACCUGGGGGUGAGGGCUGAUGGGAAUGAUGAGGGGAGGCAAGAGCUUCUGUGGGCAUGCAGUGGAUCAAGGCGUGAAGGGGCACGUGGAUUUCUCAAAAUUGAAAAGAUAACUAGUAGAGGUACUUUAAAAUUGUUGGGAGAAUCAGGGAUGGAAGGAGUAUUCUCCAAGUGUCCUAAAGCCUAAUCUUCCAGUUGGGACAUCAGUGGAUCUCAUGAACUAGAAAUAGAGGGUAGCAGAUGCUGUUCAGAGAACUCCUGUGACCCAAUUUUGUCUAGGGUCUUAAAAGGAAACUUUUUCUGGUAGUGUCAAGGAAGCAUUUUAUUCUCUGAUUAAGGUGAUGCACCGGAGAGCUUUCUUGGCCCUGCCCCUUCCCUUCUGCCUAGGUGAUGUUGGGUGAAACUGUGAUGCAUGGAGGGGCACCUUGAGUGCUCAGUCACUUAAGCGUCCAACUCUUGAUUUUGGCUGAGAUCAUGAUCUCAGGGUAAUGAGGUUGAGCCCUGCAUCAUUGGACUCCAUGCUGAGGGGAGCCAGCUUGAGAUUCUCUCUCUCCCUCUACCCCUCCUCUCCCUCUCUCCCCCCUUCCCCUCUCCCCCUCUCUAGAAAGAAAA
This 1180-nucleotide long non-coding RNA is filed under the name Canis lupus familiaris (dog). RNAcentral describes it as "lncRNA (ENSCAFG00000056337.1, ENSCAFG00845028402.1)". Lineage: Eukaryota; Metazoa; Chordata; Mammalia; Carnivora; Canidae. The record is from RNAcentral.